Long non-coding RNA from Dermacentor silvarum, 492 nucleotides. RefSeq lists it as uncharacterized. Lineage: Eukaryota; Metazoa; Arthropoda; Arachnida; Ixodida; Ixodidae. The record is from RefSeq and is a predicted model, not a curated record. The transcript is spliced from 3 exons.
GCACGUUGCGCGGGAGCGGCCGCAUUCAAGACGCUGCCGCCAAGAAUUCGCGGGAGAACGUCGUCGACCGCCAACCCACGAAGGACUGCGACCUCAAGGCCUUGCUCCUUCAGCUGUAGCGCGACGUGAGCCCUGCCAUUUCACUUUCAAGAUACGUAAGCUGCUUCGACCCUGAAAAUGCCGACGCAAUGGUGCAUCUGAACAGCCAAUGGAUACCAUGCCCACUCUUUAACGACCAGUGCUUUUAAUGAAACCGCACAGCGGAAUAAAGUCAACCACGUGAGGCACCUCAGACAGCAUAUGCAGUGGGUUGUGAUGGAUUUAAUGAUUUCAUCAGCAUUUUCACUGGGUACAAGGCUGUGAAUCUCUUGUAUGAUGCAUGUGUGGAAAAGAAACCCAACAUCUGGUGCACAUGCUUGCUUGAAACAGUCGGGCAUAUCCCAUUAGUUGAGUGCCCCCGUGUCGGCAUUUGCUGAUGUGAUCCCAGCUAUC